AAAGUCUUGGUGUAGAUAACACGUGAAGUUUACACCUUCAAGUGGUCUUUGGACAGGCUUUA
This 62-nucleotide transfer RNA is filed under the name Proales similis. Its description in RNAcentral is "tRNA-Val". The record is from RNAcentral. Lineage: Eukaryota; Metazoa; Rotifera; Eurotatoria; Ploima; Proalidae.